CAACAGUCGUUCCUGGAUUCAGAUUCAGACCAAAACUCCAGUUAACAUUCUAUGGCUUUACCCAAAUCACAUCUAAUUCUAUAAGGUCACGGCUGUGGGGCCCGAAAUUCAAUUUGAAAUCGACGGCUUUUGUCUCGCCUGUGAUUGUGAAUCCUGCACUUUAUCGUGACAUUAGUCUUUUCGCAAUUCUACAACAAACAAAAGCCUCCGCUGCCAACCGCCUAAGCAAAAAUCAGUUCGCUUCUUCUUUUUCUUUUUCAUUUUUUUUCUUUCAUUUGCCAAAAUUUCCCGAAGGAGAAUUUUGUUCAAAGUCUCUGAUUUUCCGGGAAAGUUUUGGCUACCAGGUGCUAUUGCCCUUCUAGGUAUCACUGCCUUCAAUGGUUCCUCUACCUGCCCAGCAGAUGGUAGAUCAAUGCAGUUGACUGCUAUAGAAGAUCAAGUGAACAUGGUUGAAGAGUGAUAGAAACCAAGUAUUUGGGAGCAUAGAAUAUGCUUCAUUGACAUUAUAAAGAUUUUACUGAAGCUGAAUUCUUUCUUUUAUCAAGCGAGCUAUACAUAUUGACUUGUUCAAUAGCAUUAUUGUAUGAUCCUGCUCCAUGGGAUGGAGGGGAGCUUUCUGUUCUUUGUUUUUCCUUUUCACCUUGGUCGAAUCUACAAGUAGUUCAGGGAAAGUUUGGACCUUAUAUCUGGGCACAAAUUCUCUUGUAAAUGUCAGCUGGCCAAUCUUCAGUGCUAGCAUAUUUGUGCUUGUUGCUCUUGUCCUGUCCAUGUACCUUAUUUUUGAGCAUUUAGCUGCUUACAAUCAGCCAGAGGAGCAAAAGUUUCUUAUUGGACUCAUUCUGAUGGUUCCCGUCUAUUCUCUUGAAUCGUUUUUAUCUUUGUUGGAUUCAAGUGCUGCGUUCAACUGCGAAGCAAUUAGGGACUGUUACGAAGCUUUUGCAUUGUAUUGCUUUGAGAGAUAUCUGAUAGCCUGCUUAGGUAUUGCCAUUUGUAACUUUAUAGUCUGAUAUCCUCCAAUCUUCAUAAAUUUUUGCAAACCUUUAUUUUAUUUGACCACAUUUUGCUGCUUUAAGGUGGUGAGGAAAGUACUGUUCAGUUCAUGGAAAGUAAGACCCUAAUCACCUCUAGUAUGCCUCUUUUGGAGGAGUCUUAUGCAUGUGGAUUUGUAGAGCAUCCCUUUCCACUGAACUGCUUUCUGAGGAAUUGGCAACUUGGUCCUGACUUCUAUCAUGCUGUGAAAGUGGGCAUUGUGCAAUAUGUAUGUGGUUGUUUGUUGGACUAAAUCAUUUCUCUUUGUUACAAAAUCAACAAUUUAAAUUGCUCAAGACACAUUUGCUAUCCAGAUGAUAUUGAAGAUGAUCUGUGCACUCUUAGCAAUGAUUUUUGAGGCUUUUGGGGUUUAUGGAGAAGGCAAAUUUGAGUGGAGAUAUGGCUAUCCAUACAUGGCAGUUGUUCUUAAUUUCAGUCAAAGCUGGGCCCUAUAUUGCCUUGUGCAGUUUUAUUCUGUCAUUAAAGACAAAUUAGCACCAAUUAAACCGCUGGCCAAGUUUCUGACAUUCAAGUCAAUUGUUUUCCUGACGUGGUGGCAAGGUGUUGUUGUUGCAUUUCUUUUCUCCAUGGGAGCCUUCAGAGGAUCUCUAGCUCAGGAGCUGAAAACACGUAUACAAGACUACAUCAUCUGUAUUGAGGUGUGUAAUUGAAAAAUGCUUUAAUUAUAGAUAAAAUUUGUGACACAGGGAGACUUUUCAUUAUCUAGUGGCUGAGCAUACUUUCAUUUGCAUAGAUAUUCAAUGAUAUUUAGCUUUAAUGGUUCAUUUAUGUUAACACCCAUAGAAAUGCUUAUCCUACUUUUUGUUUACUUAUUGAAUUUUUUUUUAAGUUGCAGGUGAGGUAAGUGUUUCUAAUUGUUUUCCUUGGCCAUAGCUGAGACAGGAGAAUGAUAUUUACAUGGUUGGGAAAGGAAUGUGAAACCUGAUAAUAAUGUUGUAUUAACUCUUUUACUUGAUUUUAGCAUGCCAUCUUGAACCAAAUAACUUUUUCAAACAUGUGAAGGAUGAUAAGUUGUGUUAUCCUGACACUGGAUAUGACAAUUUAUUGAUUAAUGUGUCUAGUAAGCACUUCAGCAAUGUGAGUAAUUGUGUCACUGAAAUGGAGAUCUCUAGUCCAUUGAUGACUGCCCAUUUGAUUGGCCUUCUUUUAGGUGAAUCUGAAACUACCGAUAAAACUAUCAUAUAAGAGGAAUCCUGCCUCGUAUAUCUUUACAUAUUGACAAAAAACCAUUGCUGCAUCAAGUAUUCUCAGGAUAAUGCUUCUUUUCAUUUGCAGUACCAUUUCUGAUUGAAUCAUAUUAGGAUAAAUUGUUGCAUCUGAUUUUCUGAAAGUUGAAGGAGCUAUCUGAUAGCACAUUUGUGAAGCAGAUGGGUAUUGCAGCAGUAGUACAUCUGUAUGUCUUCCCUGCUGUGCCAUACAAGCGUGGAGAGAGAUGUGUUCGUAAUGUGUCUGUGAUGACUGACUAUGCAUCUGUAGGAUCACCUCCAGAUCCAGAAGAGGUCCAAGAUUGUGAGAGGUACAGCAGGAUAUGCCUAGCUCGGCAUGAUGAAAGAGAAAAGCGAUUGAAUUUUCCCCAGAGUGUUCGUGACGUGGUUGUUGGUAGUGGUGAAAUUAUUGUUGAUGACAUGAAGUAUACAGUUUCACAUGUUGUGGAGCCAGUUGAAAGGGGAAUUGCAAAAAUAAAUAGGACCUUCCAUCAGAUUUCUGAAAAUGUGAAACGUCAUGAGGAGCGAAAGAGGAGCUCUAAGGAUGACAAUUAUCUCGUCCCCUUGAAUUCAUGGAUGAAGGAAUUUUCUGAAGCUCAUGACAACCUCCUUGAAGGCAGUGUCAGUGACAGUAGUUUGCCUAAUAGCAAGAGACCCCCUUAUCAUUCCAAAGCCACUGCAUCAAGGGCAAGGACUGACAGAUGAUGAAGAAAGGGAUGCAUUAUAUGAAUAUGGAGUAACAGUUGGCAUUUUUGAAUUCAUCAUUGCCUUUGAACAACAUCAAAUCAUCAAUGUUCUUGGUGAGUCUGUUAAAAUAUUCAAAUUUCUUGGUCCACUUCCUCACACAUGAUGUUUUGUUUCGACGGUGAAGAACUCGUCGACACUAAACCUUGAUUUUCUAACUGAAUGUACAGAGAAGAUACUACAGCUACAAACAUCCAUGGAAGCUUAUUUAACUUUCUGUGGAGUUAAAAAAAAAAGUACAAAAAUUUAGGCUUUAGAUUGUCGACUAUGAAGCUUAAAGUCAUUCUCUUGUAAAUUGAAAAGUACCACGGAUGAUGGCUUCAUUAGCCCUUACGGGAAAAUAAAAUGAACAUCAUGUCUGCCCCUUGUGUUGUGCAAUUAUGACAACAUCUUUUGCAGAAUGUCGAAGAA
Molecule: unclassified non-coding RNA, 3410 nt
Filed under: Hevea brasiliensis (rubber tree)
Lineage: Eukaryota; Viridiplantae; Streptophyta; Magnoliopsida; Malpighiales; Euphorbiaceae
Source: RNAcentral